RNAcentral lists this transfer RNA (77 nucleotides) under Streptomyces phage Yaboi. RNAcentral describes it as "tRNA-Cys". RNAcentral also lists the same sequence under 5 other names. The record is from RNAcentral. Lineage: Duplodnaviria; Heunggongvirae; Uroviricota; Caudoviricetes; Stanwilliamsviridae.
GGCGGCGUUGCAGAGAGUUUCUGCCGGUAGUCUGCAAAACUACUCGAUUUAGAGGGUGCGACUCCCUCCGUUGCCUC